GGAUGGAUCAACGCCGCCAAGUGGGGAAAGCGCGAAUGCAGUCCCCCACUACAACAAAUUAUGCAGUCGAGUUUUCCACAUUUGGGAAUAUCACAGGGGUCAGCACAUCCGGAGUGCAAUCGAUGAGCCCCACGCUGGGAAAAACCACCUUCGUGAUCAUGGUAUCUUCCCUGCCAGAGAGAAACCAAUCAGCUUCAUUUUCAACUUCUUCUAUGACUCCAGAGGAUUCACUUUGCAUCUUGUGACAAAUGAAUAUAUUACCUGAAAAAAAAAUGACAGGAUAGAUGAGUUGCUGCACAGGGGGAAAGCGAAGUUCCCAGGAGUAAGAUGUGCAAGAAGCGGGCAGCCUUGCAUCUCAGGGCUGAGUUCCCUCAACUGUGUGCUUGAGGGAAGUUCUCCCCUUGCAGACACACUGCUGAGUGAUAAGGAAGCACCUAGACUCCACUCUGACCAGACUUGGUUCUGAGGCCUAUGAAAUGUUGAUGGGAAGAACAGAAGCAGGAAAAUCUAUCUAUUCAAAUUUGCAAGACGUGGAAACUUUUAUUCACCUUCCUGGUUAGACUGUUCCUUUGUCAAAGUAAAGCUAAGGCCAUGGAAAAUGAGCUAUUUGAGAGUUUGUCGCUCCAAGGAAGAACAUGCUGGCCUAAUUGUCCCCCAAGUCAGGAGAGAGAAUUGUAAAAAACACUUAAACAGGCCUAAGUAAAGGUCCAGCACAUUAUUUAUUUAAGACUGAAUUAGAACUGAGUCAUUCCGACUCUGAAAAAAGAGUGUUGUUGGAUUCUUAUGUAUUUAAUGGGUCUGCCCUAUUGAAAACCAUUGUGAAGUAUGGUUUCCCAAGCAAGAAAUGACACUUUCACUGUCAGUCUUUCUAGGAGUCUGGCAGAAUCCAGGACCGGGAUUACCCUUAUUUAUGAAGCGACCUUAGACUAACAGUGGCUCUCUGGGUCUCCAGACAAUUGGCCAGGGACUCUAAAAACCAGAAACAAAGUUGAGAGAACUCCAUGCUGGUGGAGAAAAACAGCUGGCCUUUAUCACCAGAAUGUGCCCCAUAGAAGCAGCAAAGCAGCAAGCGACGUUCUUAAACAAGGGCCUGUGGGCCUCGUCAAGAUCUGGAGGAAUCAUCUACGACUCACUGCUGAGUGAGAGGGCUAGGCAGUGUCUUUAAGGUCCUGCCAGCUUUAACAUUGUAUGCUUUUUCUUUUGUUCAAUCUCUCACCACAACUGGAAGUGUUGCCUCAACUACACAGGAGAAAGUUUGCAGUAACUUAGAGAAAACAUUAUUUUAAUCACCAGUGUAUGUUCUCCUGCUCCCUGGACAAAUCCAUCAGCAGCGGCAACACUGACCAGGUCCAGAUUGGGGCCGCUGCGGUGGAUGUGAAUCCAUUGAAACUAGGGGUCUCCAGUGCUCCUGA
Molecule: long non-coding RNA, 1412 nt
Organism: Homo sapiens (human)
Lineage: Eukaryota; Metazoa; Chordata; Mammalia; Primates; Hominidae
Gene: WEE2-AS1
Product: WEE2 antisense RNA 1
Source: Ensembl